UUGGACCUGAUAUCAGGCAAGAUUACCCGCUGAAUUUAAGCAUAUAACUAAGCGGAGGAAAAGAAACUAACAAGGAUUCCCCUAGUAACGGCGAGUGAAGCGGGAUGAGCUCAAGCUUAAAAUCUCCAUAGGAGUUUCCUGUGGCGAAUUGUAGUCUAUAGAGGCGCUGUCAGUGCGGCUGUUCGGGAUAAGUCUCUUGGAAAAGAGCAGCAUGGAGGGUGAUACUCCCGUUCUUGCCUGAGCAGCUUGCGCGUACGACACGUUUUCUUUGAGUCGCGUUGUUUGGGAAUGCAGCGCAAAGUGGGUGGUAAAUUCCAUCUAAAGCUAAAUAUUGGUGCGAGACCGAUAGCGAACAAGUACCGUGAGGGAAAGAUGAAAAGAACUUUGAAAAGAGAGUUAAAGAGUACCUGAAACUGCUGAAAGGGAACCGAAUCGUUUCCAGUGUCUAUAAUCCGUAGCAUAUUUCAUUGGCGAGUGGAUGCGUGCAGUGUUAAUGGCAGUGGCUUGCUGCGCCUUGCAUUGUUCUGCGUUUACUUGCUGGUGCCCUGUGUUGCGGUGGGACGUCAGAGUCAGUUCGUAUGCUGCGGGAAAUGGUCAUCGAGGAGGUAGGUGCUUGCACUGUUAUAUCUCGGUUGACUAGUCGUCGUGGUUGGGACUGAGGUGCCUACAAUGUGCUUUAACGUCUUGCGGGCGCUCAUUUGAUCAGCUGCUCUGAUAGCUUGCUAUGUUUGCGGUAUGGUCAGGUGAUUGUGUUUGUAAGUAACGUUUGCCCGUUCGGGACUUUGACGAAAUGGAGCGAUCCGACCCGUCUUGAAACACGGACCAAGGAGUCUAACAUGUGUGCAAGUGUUAGGGUGUGGAAACCCCAGCGCGUAAUGAAAGUAAAGGGCAGCAUUAGUUGUCUGAGGUAGGAAACCUUUCCUUGUGAGGGGUGGCACUAUCGACCGAUCAUGAACCUUCGUGGUGAAAGAUUUGAGUAUGAGCACAUAUGUUGGUACCCGAAAGAUGGUGAACUAUGCCUGAGUAGGGUGAAGCCAGGGGAAACUCUGGUGGAAGCUCGUAGCGAUUCUGACGUGCAAAUCGAUCGUCAAACUUGGGUAUAGGGGCGAAAGACUAAUCGAACCAUCUAGUAGCUGGUUCCCUCCGAAAUUUCCCUCAGGAUAGCAGCAACUUAUUUACGAUAGUUUUAUGAGGUAAAGCGAAUGAUUAGAGGAAUUGGGGAAGAAACUUCCUUGACCUAUUCUCAAACUUUAAAUCUGUAAGACCUGCAGGUUUCUUAAUUGAACUUGCGGAUGCGAAUAUCAAGUUGCUAGUGGGCCAUACCGGGUAAGCUGGUCUGGCGAUGCGGGAUGAUCCGAACGCAAAGUUAAAGUGCCAAAGUGCCCGCUCACCUAGAUACCAUAAAAGGUGUUGGUUCAUU
RNAcentral lists this ribosomal RNA (1420 nucleotides) under Myzocytiopsis humana. RNAcentral describes it as "eukaryotic LSU rRNA". It matches the Rfam family "Eukaryotic large subunit ribosomal RNA", at positions 1 to 1233 of the family's 3401-position model. The record is from RNAcentral. Lineage: Eukaryota; Oomycota; Myzocytiopsidales; Myzocytiopsidaceae.